AAUUUUCAAUCCUUUAGAUCAGAUCUAAACCAAAACUGAUUUUCUUUCACAUGCCACUUCCUCCUCUCUCUCUCUCUCUCUCUCUCACGCUUUAUUCACCGAUCUCAAAACUUAACCUAGCGAUCCCCGGCCUCCAUUGAAGCAAGAGAUUUGGUGAGAAGUGGAGCAGAUCAAGCUUCAUUGACGACAUGACCGAGAAGGACGAGCAUGAGGAAGGGGACGACGACGACGAUGAUGAAUACGGCCCCUAUCGUUUAUUCCUCUCUCAUCUCUCCCUCAUCUGCAAACCAGGAAGAAAGCCUCAAAUUCUUUGGUUGUUCUGGGCAAUAUGAAUUCUACAUGGAAUGGAUCUGGGUGUUGUUGGCUGUACAGAUCUUCGAAUUUAGGUUUUGGUUCAACUUCCAGAGAAAAUAGCGGUUCAAGAAGCGGCUGAAAUUCAUCGUUUCAAUCGUGAAGCUUUCUCCUACCGAGCUAUCAAUUGGUAUGAGGUGAAGCUUGUGUUUGUGGCAUGUUACUUGUAUCAAAAAUAUAUGAGGGAGCAAAUUCUGAGGUAUAGAGGAGGCAAAGACCAUCUUGAUUCGUCUGACAAGUCCUCAGCUGGCAAAGGAAAGAUAUUAUGAACAGGUGUACGUAGAUCGAUCGUAAACAGCAACAACUCUAUCAAUUGUGUUGACUUUGUUCAUUCCAAAUCCUUUCUACAUCGUGACAUCAAGCUAGACAAUUUUCUCAUGGGAUUAUGAUGGCAUGCAAAUCAGGUUAUAUGUUUGAUCUUAUUAUUAGAUUAACUAUCUUAAUUUGAUCUGCAGCUUCAUAAUCAUGUCAUAUGAAAUUUGGUAUAAUCAUUUUUCUUGUCUUGGCUCAUUUUGGCUUUUCAAGUUUAGCUGUUUGUUUGCUUUUCAGUUUCGUCUUGCUCUGUUUGUUGCAUAUAUUGAUCAAUGAUAAAGUAUUUGACACUCUGACCAGUUGCUGCAGGGUUCAAGGACAACUCCAUUUGCAGCUCUCGUUCUGCCUUCAGUUUGUCAGUUGAUAACAUUUCAUUCCCCUCAUGUCCUCAUUCAUCUAUUGCUUAGCUUAGUCUACCCUGGCAAUGUGUUGCUGGUGCUUUUGUUUGGUUACUUUCAUCUUUGUAUUUUUUCUUUGAUAUUUAUCAGGUUGUGAUGAAAGAUAUUGGGAUUCAGCUUUAUAAGUUUUUUCCUCUACAUGAUAGUAGGAUAUUCUUUUUGAUUGAUAGUGUUUUCUGCAAAACUUAUAUUUUAAUAUGCUCUAUAUUUCUGUUACUUUUUGUGAUGCAAGCUCUUUGCUAAAGGUUUAGUCUUUUUCUAUAGUUCUAGACUACUUCGAAUAUGCUCUAUAUUUCUAUAUGCUCGCAUAAUUCUUUGUGCAAGAUGGAAACCCCUUGAUUUUAACCCAAAUUGUUAAAUUUUUUGUUGUGGCUUUUGUGUGCAGGACUCUUAUGAGUAUCUAUUUAAAGAGCUUAGCAAGUACAGAGAUGGAUCAUUCUCAGGCUAUAAUUAAAGAGUUGGUGUAUGAAAAGCAAUUGGAUAGGCAAGAAAUGGAUGACUUGAUGAAGCAAGAUGAGCUAGAAGUUGAAAGAAAGUUGAGAAAGCUUUGGCUGAUCUUUGUUUUUUAACAACCUUUGGUUGGUCUUAGAAUUGUGAUUGUUGGUUGGUUAUAGAUGAUGGGUUUCAUAAUAUUUUUCAAUUUAUGAUAUUUGCUGCA
Rosa rugosa (rugosa rose) is the source of this 1719-nucleotide long non-coding RNA. RefSeq lists it as uncharacterized. The transcript has 5 exons. NCBI's taxonomy places the organism in Eukaryota, Viridiplantae, Streptophyta, Magnoliopsida, Rosales, Rosaceae. The record is from RefSeq and is a predicted model, not a curated record.